GGCUGGUCCUAGUGCAGUGGUGUCUACAAGUAAUUGAUCACAAUGAGUUACAGAUCUCUUUGUUCCUUCUCCACUCUCACUGCUUCACUUGACUAGUCUUUU
Y RNA from Callithrix jacchus (white-tufted-ear marmoset), 102 nucleotides. It matches the Rfam family "Y RNA". From Rfam's summary of the family: Y RNAs are components of the Ro ribonucleoprotein particle (Ro RNP), in association with Ro60 and La proteins. The Y RNAs and Ro60 and La proteins are well conserved, but the function of the Ro RNP is not known. Lineage: Eukaryota; Metazoa; Chordata; Mammalia; Primates; Cebidae. The record is from Ensembl.